UACCAAGGCGACGAUCAGUAGCCGACCUGAGAGGGUGAUCGGCCACAUUGGAACUGAGACACGGUCCAAACUCCUACGGGAGGCAGCAGUGGGGAAUAUUGCACAAUGGGCGCAAGCCUGAUGCAGCAACGCCGCGGGAGUGAUGAAGGCUUUCGGGUCGUAAAACUCUGUCCUCAAGGAAGAUAAUGACGGUACUUGAGGAGGAAGCCCCGGCUAACUACGUGCCAGCAGCCGCGGUAA
RNAcentral lists this ribosomal RNA (240 nucleotides) under Clostridioides sp. ZZV14-6044. RNAcentral describes it as "partial 16S ribosomal RNA". It matches the Rfam family "Bacterial small subunit ribosomal RNA", at positions 266 to 523 of the family's 1533-position model. Lineage: Bacteria; Bacillati; Bacillota; Clostridia; Peptostreptococcales; Peptostreptococcaceae. The record is from RNAcentral.